Molecule: long non-coding RNA, 354 nt
Filed under: Crocodylus porosus (Australian saltwater crocodile)
Lineage: Eukaryota; Metazoa; Chordata; Crocodylia; Crocodylidae
Description: lncRNA (ENSCPRG00005018502.1)
Source: RNAcentral
AAUGGAAGAAGCAACUUAAGAUGCACCAGAUGAGUAAUAGAAAAUCCUAUCCCAAGUAGACUAUGGAGGAGUUGUACCCAGGCCAGUGAAGAGGAGUGGCUAAAAUGCUAUAUAGUCAAGCCGAGCAGUGACAGGUGCAUGCUGGUUGUCUAAGAGCUUCUGCCCAUCUGGACCCUGAAGCAUGAAGAUAGCAAGCAACUUCCCAUGUCUCCAAGGGAAAUGCCUUUCUAUCUGGUCCUCUACUGAAACUGCAGAUCAACCUGAUCACGCAAUUGCAGACCACAUGACCUGUUUGUCCAGUCAAAGACACAGCAGGAAUCUUCAGUCGUGAAGAUUUGCUAACAAUUGCUUGUG